GUGGCAGCAGCCGCGGUAAUACGGAGGGGGCUAGCGUUGUUCGGAAUUACUGGGCGUAAAGCGUAUGUAGGCGGAUCAAAAAGUUAGAUGUGAAAUCCCUGGGCUUAACCCAGGAACUGCAUUUAAAACUAGUGAUCUAGAAUUUAGUAGAGGUUAGUAGAAUUUCCAGUGUAGAGGUGAAAUUCGUAGAUAUUGGAAAGAAUACCAGUGGCGAAGGCGGCUAACUGGGCUAUUUUUGACGCUGAGAUACGAAAGCGUGGGUAGCAAACAGGAUUAGAUACCCUGGUAGUCCACGCAGUAAACGAUGAGUGCUAGUCGCUGGGUCAAAAGAUUCGGUGUCGAAGCUAACGCAUUAAGCACUCCGCCUGGGAAGUACGGUCGCAAGAUUAAAACUCAAAUAAAUUGACGGGGGCCCGCACAAGCGGUGGAGCAUGUGGUUUAAUUCGAAGCAACGCGAAGAACCUUACCAGACCUUGACAUGGUGUGUUUGAAUUACAGAAUCGUAAUUCUUCAGUUCGGCUGGCACACACACAGGUGCUGCAUGGCUGUCGUCAGCUCGUGUCGUGAGAUGUUGGGUUAAGUCCCGCAACGAGCGCAACCCUCAUUUUUAGUUGCCAUCAGGUAAUGCUGGGCACUCUAAAAAAACUGCCGGUGAUAAGCUGGAGGAAGGCGGGGAUGACGUCAAGUCCUCAUGGCCCUUAUGGUCUGGGCUACACACGUGCUACAAUGGUGGUGACAGUGGGCAGCUAUUUCGUAAGAAAAAGCUAAUCCUCAAAAGCCAUCUCAGUUCGGAUUGGACUCUGCAACUCGAGUCCAUGAAGUUGGAAUCSSUAGUAAUCGUAGAUCAGCAUGCUACGGUGAAUACGUUCUCGGGCCUUGCACACACCGCCCGUC
This 894-nucleotide ribosomal RNA is filed under the name uncultured bacterium. RNAcentral describes it as "bacterial SSU rRNA". It matches the Rfam family "Bacterial small subunit ribosomal RNA", at positions 505 to 1398 of the family's 1533-position model. The record is from RNAcentral.